RNAcentral lists this long non-coding RNA (2318 nucleotides) under Penaeus japonicus. RNAcentral describes it as "uncharacterized LOC122246777". The record is from RNAcentral. Lineage: Eukaryota; Metazoa; Arthropoda; Malacostraca; Decapoda; Penaeidae.
CAGUUCUUUACGACGAACCUCACACGGAUAAGGAGGAGGAGGAGGUGAGCGAAGACGAACUCACACAGGAGGAACUGAACACGAGGAUCUUGCAGCUGUGUCACCAGCAGUGGAAGCAACAUUGCAGGGAGAACAGAGAAAGAAGUCUCCCGAGUUUCCACAAGAUCAUGGACAUGCUGACUAAGACCUUCCACGAAGAGGACGAAGUUCAAAUCAACGAAACGGUUUCAUAUUCUCAAGGACAAAAUUUAGACGAGGGAAGAGUAAUGUAUUGAUCUGUAUUUGUGUCAAAGUAAUUGGCAUGUUCAUGUUUCUGGCAAACAAUGUUUUGUGCAGUGUAAUUUUUAAAAGAAAUGAAUGUUUGCAUCGAAUUAUAGCUGACUGAUUAUCUAUAGGCAUAAGCGAGGAAGACGCUGAACUCUUGAAGAAUAUUCACGAUUGUUAUGUCGAUUACCCAUGGCGAAUACGAGAAGUGCCUCUUGUCCAAACGUUGAUGAUUGUUAGCGAGUUUUAGUGACCGAUCAAGACUGGAGAAGUUCUUCCGCCAUCUUGUCACUUCCUGUAAAUUUCUUAUGUUACGGUGAUCGAUAAAAAAAAAAAAAAUAAUAAUAAAAGAAAUUACAUACACGCACAUGCACAAAUACACAUAUGCAAAGAGAGAGAUGGACAGAUAAAAUUAUUUGAUUCAUACCAUAUGCAUACUUAUGUAUACAUACUUGUAUAUUUAAACACAUAUAUAUGAAAAUGAAAUUAUAUAUAUAUAUAUAUAUAUAUAUAUAUAUAUAUAUAUAUAUAUAUAUAUAUAUAUAUAUAUAUAUAUACGUGUGUGUGUGUGUGUUUAUUCAUCUACGUCCAUGCACGGGCGCAUGUUAAUUUUUAAAAAAUAAAUAGAGGUGUUUUACGGUGAGUCACCGCUUGUUAUAUUCACCACUUGGAGAUCCUUCACUUGAUAGCCAGCCACUACUAUCUGCUGAUUAAGUAAUGAUACUCUAUAUUUGUCUUCCAGUUUGUGAACUUGUUUAUCGUUUUAUCUCUCUCUCUUAAAAGUGGGAUAUGAAUACUAGUUCAUUAGGUUUCCUUCUUUACAAGAGUACUUAAGUAAUGACAAUGUUGAUACACUCACAUACUAGUACACAUUCACGCCCGACUCUUCACGAACCGAGUUUUCUGGACAGACUCUUAGCCCCAAGCUGUCAUUUGCAUACGUCGGUCUAACAGGUCAGCACAUCUGACCUGGUCCUGGGCAUGGUGAUCGCGUGAUUGUCACACAAAAGUGAUCACGUGCUUGCAUGGACAUGCCCUCGUGCACACACAUACACACACACACACACACACACGCACACACACACACACACACAUCCAUACACGGAUAUUUCCACUGCUUCUUGAGGAUAUAUUAUAUACUUGUUGCAUUGGUGAUUGAGGGCUCUUAGUACCACCAGCUAUAGAGACGAUAGUGUGUCUAGUUGCCUCCGUGUUUUUUUAAUGCCUGUAAAAAUCCAUGACGCCCCCAACGCAGUAGAUAUAUCUUCUGGUCACUUGAGGUGGUAAUUGAAAUUUCUCGAUUCUUCAGACCCGAGUUUGGCCAUCUAACCAGUUUUUUUAAUUUAAUUAAAUCAAGUUUCAAAAAGGGGGCUAUCACAAACUAUGCAAUCUACACUUCAAUGUUGUCUAAAUUGGCGUGUGUAGACAAACAAAAACUGAAGAAGUAACAGCGAAUGAGGCAGGCCUUAGUUAACAGUGCAAGCGUGGUUUUAGAUCUUUACAAUAAUGCUGGGAUUAGCUGCCGAAACCUUCUCGGAAAUGAUGUUGACCUUUACUCCGUCAAUUGGACAUAAAUAUAGAAAUUCCAUUACGAGAUGUCCAUGUAACCCAAGGUCAGGGUCUGAUUCAAUCCGGCGUGCAAGCGUGUACACACCUCGCAUCGUGGGUAAAGAAAACGGUUGAACGGUCAGCUAUUUUUCGGUUCAUUCGAAAUUUCAAGUGCGAUCCUGCAGCUUGGUAAAUAUUAUCCGCUUCUUAUGCGUUUUGGUGUGUGAAUUAAACUGUACUUUUUUUCUUUAUUUUUCAUAUUAACAUUGUCUUAUAAUACUUGUAUUAGAAAACAAGACUUCUUAAAUCUUUGAUAUCCUUAAUUUACAUACAGAUUAUUAACGAUUUUAGACGAGGUAAAGUUUUCACAAGCAGGUUAAUGGCACCAUGUAUUCUCACUGUAAUUACACGGCUUAGCCAUAAACCCACAGAAUUCUUCUCCAAAUAACCAUUAUCUCAGUUUCCAUUUCCUUUCUAUGGCUUAUAUGACAUUCCAGAACAAUCUU